This 460-nucleotide ribosomal RNA is filed under the name uncultured bacterium. RNAcentral's name for it is "partial 16S ribosomal RNA". It matches the Rfam family "Bacterial small subunit ribosomal RNA", at positions 338 to 795 of the family's 1533-position model. The record is from RNAcentral.
CCUACGGGAGGCUGCAGUGAGGAAUAUUGGUCAAUGGACGAGAGUCUGAACCAGCCAAGUAGCGUGAAGGAUGACUGCCCUAUGGGUUGUAAACUUCUUUUAUAUGGGAAUAAAAUGUUCCACGUGUGGGAUUUUGUAUGUACCAUAUGAAUAAGGAUCGGCUAACUCCGUGCCAGCAGCCGCGGUAAUACGGAGGAUCCGAGCGUUAUCCGGAUUUAUUGGGUUUAAAGGGAGCGUAGGUGGAUUGUUAAGUCAGUUGUGAAAGUUUGCGGCUCAACCGUAAAAUUGCAGUUGAAACUGGCAGUCUUGAGUACAGGAGAGGUAGGCGGAAUUCGUGGUGUAGCGGUGAAAUGCGUAGAUAUCACGAAGAACUCCGAUUGCGAAGGCAGUUCACUGGACUGCAACUGACACUGAGGCUCGAAAGUGUGGGUAUCAAACAGGAUUAGAUACCCGAGUAGUC